UCGAAAAACAGCAGCCAGCAGCAGCAGC
RNAcentral lists this small RNA (28 nucleotides) under Bombyx mori (domestic silkworm). Its description in RNAcentral is "ovarian small RNA-28112". The record is from RNAcentral. Lineage: Eukaryota; Metazoa; Arthropoda; Insecta; Lepidoptera; Bombycidae.